Propithecus coquereli (Coquerel's sifaka) is the source of this 307-nucleotide unclassified non-coding RNA. Its record names the gene 7SK. It matches the Rfam family "7SK RNA". Rfam says of the family: 7SK was discovered as an abundant small nuclear RNA in the mid-70s but a possible function has only recently been suggested. The record is from Ensembl. Lineage: Eukaryota; Metazoa; Chordata; Mammalia; Primates; Indriidae.
CGAUGUGAGGGCAAUCUGGCUGCAACAUCUGUCACCUCAUUAAUCGCCAGGGUUGAUGCAGCUGAUCUAGCUGGCUAGGCGGAUGUCCCCUUCCUCCCUCAUGGCUCCAUGUGUGUCCCUCCUAAAGCUCUGUGCUUGAUUGAAAAACAUGACCUUCCCUGAUAGAGCAGGACAGUUCUUUAGUCAGGGGUGUAAAAGUAGCUGUGCUCCCCUACUACAACCUCCAAACAAGCUCUCAAAGUUGGCAAAAAUGUACUAUACUAUUCCAUUUCCUUCCAGAUUUUUGCAGACUCUAAAAGAAAUAUUU